RNAcentral lists this long non-coding RNA (1642 nucleotides) under Struthio camelus australis. Its description in RNAcentral is "lncRNA (ENSSCUG00000019109.1)". Lineage: Eukaryota; Metazoa; Chordata; Aves; Struthioniformes; Struthionidae. The record is from RNAcentral.
AUUGGUCAGAGAGCAGGAAGAAUUGAGUAAGCUGGCAGAAAACAGCAAGUGAGUUAGAAAAUUUUCUUCCAUCCACCCCCACAGCUGCAUAUGAGGGAAAGCAGCAAGAAUAGCAAGGGAGAGGAAGAGCCUAAUAUCCUUCUGCCUUCCCAGCCACCAGACAGCAACUGAAGAAAGGCUGGAGGUUGCUGUGUGCAACCCAUUGCCGUGUCCCCUGGGCACGGCACGCGCUCAUCCUGCUAGGAGAAGGUCCUACAGGAGUUUGUUCCUGCCACCAUGAGAUACAGUCCAGUCUCGUCAUAUGUAAACCUCCAGGGAAUGGGAGUUUUCUGUGGAAAAGCAAGAACUAUGUUUGAGACAAACUCUGUAAAAGUAUAAUACCCAAAAGCUUACGAAAGAGGAAGGAAUUCUGCUUGGGUUACCUGAACUGCACUGAAGCCUGGGAAGCAGCACCGCUCCCCGUGGUGGGAAAUGCUGGAAUACCCUUUGGAUGCACCUGUGAGAGCAAGCACUCUGACGAGUUUGAAGUUUCCCAGGCACCAGAGGAAGCUGCUAAGAGCGUUGUCUUCUCCAGGCAGCAGACAGCGCACUCCAAACUUCAUCAAUGGUUUUCUCCAUGUAACAGCACGCUUUGUGAAGUGAAGAAAAAAGACGGAGAGAUCCACAACAGCCGCUAGUGAAAGCCGUCUAGUCAUCAGUGCGUUUGUAGCUGGUACCUUGUUACCUGGCUGACAGCUCAAGAGAGAGAGUGGCUUUUCUGAUGUGGCAAUGGUAAAUCUUCACAGAACCCCUUUCUUCUGACACUGAACAGGGAAUUCCACUGAAACCAGGAUUUUAACAUGUUUCCUAAAACUGCUGUCUCUGUACCCUUCCGACGGCACAGCUUCUGCUUAUAUCGCUUCACAAACUCCUACGGAGAAGCUUUCUGCUCCUAUUGAAGGGAACACGUAAACUCCGUUCUUGCAGAGUACCUACGGAUCCGGUGACCUGCCGCCGCCUUCUCCUCCUGUAUCGCAAACUCUAUGGAACUGAAUUACUGAAAACAGAAACUUUGUUUGCUAGAAGACACUUCUAAUUGGAGAAGUGUUUCUGUGCUUUAAAGUAAGCAAGUCUGGUAAAGGCGUGUUAUAAAAUCAAAUUAACUGUGGUAAAUUACAAAGAAAUCACCCUUAGAAUAUAUCACUGCAUCUUUCCCAUCUCCCAAGGUUUUUUGUCCUCCUCCUUCUUUACACGUCAGAUCAGAAACCGGGAGCUCAUCUGGUGUUGACAAAUGCAGGGUAUGUUAGGCUUUGACUUUAUAGGAGAAAAAUGGGUCACCAGCAUGUUAUUGGCAGCUCAAGUUUGGUGUCAUUUAGCCAGCUGAAGAGAAAAAAAUAGGCCAUUGAUUAGUCCAGCAACAGCCUAGGGCCUCUGUAUUUUAAUUACAUAUGUUCUCUGGACUUAAUUCAUCCCUGGUGAAUCAUCAUUGACUUAAAUGGAGCUUCAUAAUGGAGGAAUUUCCCCAAUACAUUUUGUUCUUUGUAUUAUUAAUACAUCUAAGUGUUGUGAAUAACUCUGUUUCCCAAAACAAACAUUCAGGCUUCUGUAAAAGCUGGUGCUUGGAGACUUUAAAGAACCCCGAAGACCAAAAGGUUUUGCAUCC